This is a long non-coding RNA of Macadamia integrifolia, 825 nucleotides long. RefSeq lists it as uncharacterized. NCBI's taxonomy places the organism in Eukaryota, Viridiplantae, Streptophyta, Magnoliopsida, Proteales, Proteaceae. The record is from RefSeq and is a predicted model, not a curated record. The transcript has 2 exons.
CCUAUUCUAAGACCAAAUUUACCGUUCUCCCAAAUCGUGGGAUCUAGACCACCGGCCAUCGUUUAGGCAACGGCGACCGGGUGAAACCCCUUUCCCCAGUUGAUCAUGUUCUAGCUCAACACUGCUCAAGAGAUCCAUCCUUUCAGGCGGCAACUGAUUUUUUUACUUUUUGGACUGAAGAAGUUCUCCCAGGUCGGGCAGAGUAUUGGGAAAACAGUCAUGGGAAGAUUCCAUCAACUCCAUUGCAUGAUUGAAUUUUGCCCCGCCUCCCAUACCUAGAAGAUUUACUCCACCUCUUCAACAUGUAAUUCCGAUCCAUUUUUACAUACAACCUAAGCACAGAAGAUGGAAUUUGGUAGCACUUACUUAAGCCUGAGAGUGGAAAACAGAGAAGGAAAAAAAAAAAACAAAUCAAACAAAUCUUCUCGCCGGCGACCUAUGAUGGCAGGGAUGGGAAGUACACUUCUCGCCGGAGAUGAAAGGAGAAGUAUAUGCGGGCAACUAUCCUGUCUAUCUUAGCUGUAACUCAUUUGAACCCGUUGUCGCAGGUGUAUGGAGAGGAGGAGAGAGAGAUAAGGAGAAUGAAAUGGUAAAAUGAUAAAGAGGGGUAUUUUUAGAAUAAUGAAAAUGUGUAACUAAUCAGUGUUUUACGCAUAAGGGCAAAAACAUCAUUUCAUAGUAAUCCUUAUCAUGACUGAUGGUAAGGGGUCUAAGUAUAAUUUGGUGAAAUAGAGGGGAUGAUUUUAUAAUUGUGACAUUCUCCAAGAGGUGGCGCUGUAAAUUUCUCUUUAGAAAAUGAAACUUACUUGGCAUCUUUUCUAUCUA